UUAAGCGACUAAGCGUACACGGUGGAUGCCCUGGCAGUCAGAGGCGAUGAAGGACGUGCUAAUCUGCGAUAAGCGUCGGUGAGGUGAUAUGAACCGUUAUAACCGGCGAUUUCCGAAUGGGGAAACCCAGUGUGUUUCGACACACUAUCAUUAACUGAAUCCAUAGGUUAAUGAGGCGAACCGGGGGAACUGAAACAUCUAAGUACCCCGAGGAAAAGAAAUCAACCGAGAUUCCCCCAGUAGCGGCGAGCGAACGGGGAGGAGCCCAGAGCCUGAAUCAGUGUGUGUGUUAGUGGAAGCGUCUGGAAAGGCGUGCGAUACAGGGUGACAGCCCCGUACACAAAAAUGCACAUAUUGUGAGCUCGAUGAGUAGGGCGGGACACGUGGUAUCCUGUCUGAAUAUGGGGGGACCAUCCUCCAAGGCUAAAUACUCCUGACUGACCGAUAGUGAACCAGUACCGUGAGGGAAAGGCGAAAAGAACCCCGGCGAGGGGAGUGAAAAAGAACCUGAAACCGUGUACGUACAAGCAGUGGGAGCCUCUUAAUGGGGUGACUGCGUACCUUUUGUAUAAUGGGUCAGCGACUUAUAUUCUGUAGCAAGGUUAACCGAAUAGGGGAGCCGAAGGGAAACCGAGUCUUAACUGGGCGUUAAGUUGCAGGGUAUAGACCCGAAACCCGGUGAUCUAGCCAUGGGCAGGUUGAAGGUUGGGUAACACUAACUGGAGGACCGAACCGACUAAUGUUGAAAAAUUAGCGGAUGACUUGUGGCUGGGGGUGAAAGGCCAAUCAAACCGGGAGAUAGCUGGUUCUCCCCGAAAGCUAUUUAGGUAGCGCCUCGUGAAUUCAUCUCCGGGGGUAGAGCACUGUUUCGGCAAGGGGGUCAUCCCGACUUACCAACCCGAUGCAAACUGCGAAUACCGGAGAAUGUUAUCACGGGAGACACACGGCGGGUGCUAACGUCCGUCGUGAAGAGGGAAACAACCCAGACCGCCAGCUAAGGUCCCAAAGUCAUGGUUAAGUGGGAAACGAUGUGGGAAGGCCCAGACAGCCAGGAUGUUGGCUUAGAAGCAGCCAUCAUUUAAAGAAAGCGUAAUAGCUCACUGGUCGAGUCGGCCUGCGCGGAAGAUGUAACGGGGCUAAACCAUGCACCGAAGCUGCGGCAGCGACACUAUGUGUUGUUGGGUAGGGGAGCGUUCUGUAAGCCUGUGAAGGUGGCCUGUGAGGGUUGCUGGAGGUAUCAGAAGUGCGAAUGCUGACAUAAGUAACGAUAAAGCGGGUGAAAAGCCCGCUCGCCGGAAGACCAAGGGUUCCUGUCCAACGUUAAUCGGGGCAGGGUGAGUCGACCCCUAAGGCGAGGCCGAAAGGCGUAGUCGAUGGGAAACAGGUUAAUAUUCCUGUACUUGGUGUUACUGCGAAGGGGGGACGGAGAAGGCUAUGUUGGCCGGGCGACGGUUGUCCCGGUUUAAGCGUGUAGGCUGGUUUUCCAGGCAAAUCCGGAAAACCAAGGCUGAGGCGUGAUGACGAGGCACUACGGUGCUGAAGCGACAAAUGCCCUGCUUCCAGGAAAAGCCUCUAAGCAUCAGGUAACAUCAAAUCGUACCCCAAACCGACACAGGUGGUCAGGUAGAGAAUACCAAGGCGCUUGAGAGAACUCGGGUGAAGGAACUAGGCAAAAUGGUGCCGUAACUUCGGGAGAAGGCACGCUGAUAUGUAGGUGAAGCGACUUGCUCGUGGAGCUGAAAUCAGUCGAAGAUACCAGCUGGCUGCAACUGUUUAUUAAAAACACAGCACUGUGCAAACACGAAAGUGGACGUAUACGGUGUGACGCCUGCCCGGUGCCGGAAGGUUAAUUGAUGGGGUUAGCGGUAACGCGAAGCUCUUGAUCGAAGCCCCGGUAAACGGCGGCCGUAACUAUAACGGUCCUAAGGUAGCGAAAUUCCUUGUCGGGUAAGUUCCGACCUGCACGAAUGGCGUAAUGAUGGCCAGGCUGUCUCCACCCGAGACUCAGUGAAAUUGAACUCGCUGUGAAGAUGCAGUGUACCCGCGGCAAGACGGAAAGACCCCGUGAACCUUUACUAUAGCUUGACACUGAACACUGGUCCUUGAUGUGUAGGAUAGGUGGGAGGCUUUGAAGCGUGGACGCCAGUCUGCGUGGAGCCAACCUUGAAAUACCACCCUUUAAUGGCUGGUGUUCUAACGUAGACCCGUAAUCCGGGUUGCGGACAGUGUCUGGUGGGUAGUUUGACUGGGGCGGUCUCCUCCUAAAGAGUAACGGAGGAGCACGAAGGUUGGCUAAUCCUGGUCGGACAUCAGGAGGUUAGUGCAAUGGCAUAAGCCAGCUUGACUGCGAGCGUGACGGCGCGAGCAGGUGCGAAAGCAGGUCAUAGUGAUCCGGUGGUUCUGAAUGGAAGGGCCAUCGCUCAACGGAUAAAAGGUACUCCGGGGAUAACAGGCUGAUACCGCCCAAGAGUUCAUAUCGACGGCGGGGUUUGGCACCUCGAUGUCGGCUCAUCACAUCCUGGGGCUGAAGUAGGUCCCAAGGGUAUGGCUGUUCGCCAUUUAAAGUGGUACGCGAGCUGGGUUUAGAACGUCGUGAGACAGUUCGGUCCCUAUCUGCCGUGGGCGCUGGAGAACUGAGGGGGGCUGCUCCUAGUACGAGAGGACCGGAGUGGACGCAUCACUGGUGUUCGGGUUGUCAUGCCAAUGGCACUGCCCGGUAGCUAAAUGCGGAAGAGAUAAGUGCUGAAAGCAUCUAAGCACGAAACUUGCCCCGAGAUGAGUUCUCCCUGACUCCUUGAGGGUCCUGAAGGAACGUUGAAGACGACGACGUUGAUAGGCCGGGUGUGUAAGCGCAGCGAUGCGUUGAGCUAACCGGUACUAAUGAACCGUGAGGCUUAACCUU
RNAcentral lists this ribosomal RNA (2902 nucleotides) under human gut metagenome. RNAcentral describes it as "bacterial LSU rRNA". It matches the Rfam family "Bacterial large subunit ribosomal RNA". The record is from RNAcentral.